This 341-nucleotide ribosomal RNA is filed under the name uncultured bacterium. RNAcentral's name for it is "bacterial SSU rRNA". It matches the Rfam family "Bacterial small subunit ribosomal RNA", at positions 29 to 396 of the family's 1533-position model. The record is from RNAcentral.
AACGAACGCUGGCGGCAGGCUUAACACAUGCAAGUCGAACGGGCACCUUCGGGUGUCAGUGGCAGACGGGUGAGUAACGCGUGGGAACGUGCCCUUUGGUUCGGAACAACCCAGGGAAACUUGGACUAAUACCGGAUACGCCCGAGAGGGGAAAGAUUUAUCGCCAAAGGAGCGGCCCGCGUCUGAUUAGCUUGUUGGUGAGGUAACGGCUCACCAAGGCGACGAUCAGUAGCUGGUCUGAGAGGAUGAUCAGCCACACUGGGACUGAGACACGGCCAGACUCCUACGGGAGGCAGCAGUGGGGAAUAUUGGACAAUGGGCGCAAGCCUGAUCCAGCCAUG